GUUUGCCGCCAAAUGGGUCGCCGCAUCGAAAAUCGCAUAGCCUCAAUGCUCGACAGUCGCCUAGGACCACCGAAAAAUCACGCGGAAAUGCUAACCGAAUGGAUGAAUACCCUAAUGGGAUCAACUUCCGAAGACUAUGAUAUUGUCAUUCAUAACGUUGUGAAUUCGAUGAAAAAGCAGCUCGACGAGAUGCUCGGCGAGCCGCCCCAACACCACACUGAAUAUAUGGAUGAAGCCGGUGGUCCAUCAUCGACUAGUUCGAUGAAACGUAUGAAAAUGAUGAAUUCGCAUGGAGCAGCAGAGGAUGAUGAGGAUGAUGAUGAUGGGGGGCAUCAUCAUGUUGUUGGAAAUUCUGGAAAACCCAGAUUUGAAGG
This 374-nucleotide small RNA is filed under the name Caenorhabditis elegans. RNAcentral describes it as "Unclassified non-coding RNA Y77E11A.25". The record is from RNAcentral. Lineage: Eukaryota; Metazoa; Nematoda; Chromadorea; Rhabditida; Rhabditidae.